Molecule: long non-coding RNA, 211 nt
Filed under: Phoenix dactylifera (date palm)
Lineage: Eukaryota; Viridiplantae; Streptophyta; Magnoliopsida; Arecales; Arecaceae
Description: long non-coding RNA (PDAC_LNC019799)
Source: RNAcentral
CUUAGUGUAAGUUUUAAUUUUUGGUCUCUGAGGUCCAAUGUAUUUUUUAUGUUUUUUUUUGUUCCAAUAAAUGCUUUCUCCUCCAGAUUCUCCGAUUGACUGACUGAUCAAGAAAGCACAAGCAGCAAUAUGUGCACCUGUUGACUGUUGAAUUAGAUAGAUCCUAUAAAAACAUAUAUGAAAAGACAGGAAAUAUUUUAAGGGUAAAUUC